GUGAGGAAUAUUGCGCAAUGGAGGCAACUCUGACGCAGCCAUGCCGCGUGCAGGAAGAAGGCGCUACGCGUUGUAAACUGCUUUUAACCGGGAAGAAACCCCAGGACGUGUCCUGGGUUGACGGUACCGGAGGAAUAAGCACCGGCUAACUUCGUGCCAGCAGCCGCGGUAAUACGAAGGGUGCAAGCGUUAUCCGGAUUCAUUGGGUUUAAAGGGUGCGUAGGCGGAGCGUUAAGUCAGUGGUGAAAUCCUGCAGCUUAACUGUAGACUUGCCAUUGAUACUGGCGCGCUUGAGUGCGCUUGAAGGGGGCGGAAUGUGCCGUGUAGCGGUGAAAUGCUUAGAUAUGGCACAGAACACCAAUUGCGAAGGCAGCUCACUAAGGCGAUACUGACGCUGAGGCACGAAAGCGUGGGGAUCGAACAGGAUUAGAUACCCUGGUAGUCC
This 445-nucleotide ribosomal RNA is filed under the name uncultured bacterium. RNAcentral describes it as "partial 16S ribosomal RNA". It matches the Rfam family "Bacterial small subunit ribosomal RNA", at positions 354 to 796 of the family's 1533-position model. The record is from RNAcentral.